RNAcentral lists this unclassified non-coding RNA (329 nucleotides) under soil metagenome. Its description in RNAcentral is "partial contains 5.8S ribosomal RNA, internal transcribed spacer 2, and large subunit ribosomal RNA". The stretch from base 1 to 120 matches the Rfam family "5.8S ribosomal RNA", at positions 35 to 154 of the family's 154-position model. The record is from RNAcentral.
GAUGAAGAGCGCAGCGAAAUGCGAUAAGUAAUGUGAAUUGCAGAAUUCAGUGAAUCAUCGAAUCUUUGAACGCACAUUGCGCCCCUUGGUAUUCCGAGGGGCAUGCCUGUUCGAGCGUCAUUAUAACCCCUCAAGCUCAGCUUGGUGUUGGGGCCUGCUGCACUGGCAGCCCUUAAAAUCAGUGGCGGCGCCAUCUGGCUCUAAGCGUAGUAAUUCUUCUCGCUAUGGAGUCCUGGUGGAUGCUUGCCAUCAACCCCCAAUUUUUCUAUGGUUGACCUCGGAUCAGGUAGGGAUACCCGCUGAACUUAAGCAUAUCAAUAAGCGGAGGA